CUCACACUUGCCAUCGCGGCAAAGAUUUAUCACCGUAAUAUUCCCAAUAUGAAUUAAAAAUAAGGUAAGUGGGUGCUGUUCUUUUGUAUUAGCAGCCUCAUUCCCCGUCAGGAACAAAAUUUCAUAGACAGAAUAUGCAAGUAGUUAUGUUUCAAAAAGCUUUAUUAUGUAUUAUUAUUGGAGUGUAAUAAAUGUUCCACUGUGUGUUGCAUGUGGAAAAUGGAAGGAUAAAUACUAGUUUUUAGUGGAAAAAUGAAAAUAAUUACAUUUGUAUGUGCAGAUAAAGAGGAAAAAAUAAAGACUUUUUUUUCAUUUAAACAAAGGGAUUUCUUCGGUAAACUCUGAAUGAUAUAUUUUAGCACAAAAUAGCUGGAAAUUUACACCCAGUAAAUUUUCCAACUUCUCAUACAAUAUAACCCAAGACAAUAGCUGUGACAAAGUUGGUGUGUGUGUAGAUUAUAUUAAUUCCAGUGAGAUCUGCGGACCCUAUAAUGGUUUAAUAAUGUGGGGCCACUAUGUAGAGACAUUUCAUCUCUCCAUUAUAGCCCUUGCUACCAAAAGCAUAAUUGAACAGUAAUUAUUGAAUGAUGCCCCUUUUGUAGCAGAAGAUAAUUAUGGUAUUAAUGGCAGCUGAGCACAAAGCCAGCCGAUCACCAGGGUACAUGCACAUGCGUGACAUCCCACAAUGCACAAACACUUGGAGGUGAAGAAAAUUAUUUAGAGGAUCUUUUUAUUUAUUUAAUUGUACAUCUGCUAGAACCAUGCAUAGAUUUCAAGAAUACCAACCCGAGGGUGAACCGGUCAUCCACACAUUUUGUUUACAUUUUAAACUGAUUUAAAGUCACCAUGGCGCGCACAUUAAAAUCGGGCCUGAGAUUAAAAUAAAUCACUAGCCCCAAAAGAACCAGUCUUAACACUUACAGAGGGUGUGUUACAGUUUUCAUCCUACACCUGACUGUAACGGAAUACUCACGGAAUAUAAUCAUAAAGUGCUCCCAUGUCAGAUGUGACAUAAAACGAACAGCACUCCACAAUCAGGUGUAGUACAACACACCCCAAUCAGGUGUAGUAAUACUACAGCACUCCACAGUCAGGUGCAACAUUAAUACCAGAAUUGCAUAUAACAUGGUCAUGUGACGCAUCAAUACCAAAACAAGUUACCCAAUAAUCUGGGGUAUAAACACUGUAAAUGUGAUGAUGUUACCAGCUGGAUAAACUUUCAUACAGGAUUGGAAGAGAUGUUGAGAUCAGGUGAAUACUGGAAUAAUGUACGGCUGAAAGCAGUGUUAUUAAUGCAAGAAGGUGUAGUAUUGAAAUACCGCCUGCAGCCUGAUUUACUAUCAGUAGUAGAAGAAGGGGUGAAAGGCAGGCAGUCUAGAGUUAGUACUGGAGGAAUAACGUGUGAUGCAGGCAGGUCUAGUAUUAGCCCUAGAGGAAUAAUGUGUGAUGCAGACAUGUCUACUGUGAGCCCUAGAGGAGUAAUGUGUGAUGCAGGCAGGUCUAGUGUUAGCCCUGAAAGAAUAACGUGUGAUGCAGGCAGGUCUAGUGUUAUUCAUGAAAGAGUAACGUGUGAUGCAGGCAGGUCUAGUGUUAUUCAUGAAAGAGUAACGUGUGAUACAGGCAGAUCUAGUGUUAGCCCUGAAAGAGUAACGUGUGAUGCAGGCAAGUCUAGUCUUAGCCCUGGAAGAAUAAUGUGUGAUGCAGGUAGGUCUAGUUUUANNNNNNNNNNNNNNNNNNNNNNNNNNNNNNNNNNNNNNNNNNNNNNNNNNNNNNNNNNNNNNNNNNNNNNNNNNNNNNNNNNNNNNNNNNNNNNNNNNNNUGUGUGAGUGCUGGAUGAUGUGUGUGGGGGGGGGGGGCCAUCAGGGCUCGAGUCCUGCAGGAACGCAUGGGAACGGCGUUCCUGCACUUUUUCCACAGCAGGAACGCCGUUCCCGUUACCUGUCCUGCAGGACCGGCCCUGCUACCUGCACAGAGGGGCCAGCACACGCUGUGUUCCCUCUCCAGCUAUAACUCCAGCGCACUCACACACUGCAUUCAUUAUACACACUCUUCACUCACUACAAACACACUACAUUCACUAUACACUCACUACAAACACACUACAUUCACUAUACACUCACUACAAACACACUACAUUCACUAUACACCCUCUGCAUUCACUAUACACACUCUGCAUUCACUAUACACACUCUGCAUUCACUAUACACAUUCUGCACUCACUACACACUACAUUCACUAUACACACUCUGCAUUCACUACAAACACACUACAUACACUGCAUUCAUUGUACACACUCUGCACUCACUACAAACACACUAAAUUCAUUAUACACAAUUUGCACUUAAAGGACCACUCUAGGCACCCAGACCACUUCAGCUUAAUGAAUUGGUCUGGGUGCCAGGUCCUUCUAGGGUUAACCCAUUUUUUCAUAAUUAUAGCAGUUUCAGAGAAACUGCUAUAAUUAUGAAUGGGUUAAGCCUUCCCCCUAAUCCUCUAGUGGCUGUCUCAUUGACAGCCACUAGAAGCGCUUGCGUGCUUCUCACUGUGAUUUUCACAGUGAGAGCACGCAAGCGUCCAUAGGAAAGCAUUGUAAAUGCUUUCCUAUGCGACGGGCUGAAUGCGCGCGCAGCUCUUGCCGCGCGUGCGCAUUCAGCCCAGGAGAAGGAACGGAGGAGGAGAGGAGGCAGAGAGCUCCCCGCCCAGCGCUGGAAAAAGGUAAGUUUUUAACCCUUUCCCCUUUCCAGAGCCGGGCGGGAGGGGGUCCCUGAGGGUGGGGGCACCCUCAGGGCACUAUAGUGCCAGGAAAACGAGUAUGUUUUCCUGGCACUAUAGUGGUCCUUUAACUACAAACACAUUACAUUCAUUAUACACACACUGCACUCACUACAAAUACACUACAAUUAUUAUUCACACUGCACUCACUACAAACACACUACAUUUAUUAUUCAUACUCUGCAUUCACUACAAACACACUACAUUCAUUAUACACACCCUGCACUGCACUAUAUGCAUAGGAGUGUAUUUUUUUAUUUAUUUAUUUUUUAAGGGGGGGGGGGGCGGGAAUCUUGGGUGAGUUCCCACACUUUUUUCCCCAGGACUUGACCCCUGAUUACACAUUUAUACUCUGUAUUACAGAUACAUUAUAUCAGCUUGGGAGAUUUACAGUUUUUUUUUUUUUAUAACAUAGGUAUUUAUCCACAUAGCUGGUACAUAGUUGCUAAGAGACACUCUACAGACUGCUUACACUUUGAACUUUUAUGAACUAUAGAUUUUUUUGGUAUCAUUUUAUAUUUUGGACACUAUACUCUCUAAGUUUCCUCUUUACAGUCCUAGGACAUUAUCCAUUAUAUUUUCUGUUUCACCCUACUCAAUAAUUAGUUCAUGUGCCCCCUUUUCGCCGGUUAGGGGUAGCACUUUUCAUGAGUAAACCAACGGUGGAUCUGCUAUCAAAACUUAUAUACCAUCAAAUACAGCUAUAAAUAUUCUCCUUUUUGCAUUUUCACUAGCUAUCACCUGGUACAUUUAGGAUUUUUAUUAAUUCUUCCUGCUUCAGCUAAUAUGGGAAUUUAACUAUACCAGUUGAGAUUAUUUAUGUAUUUGCACCACAUUUGUGUUAUUUUACACUAAUUGUAGGGGGAACUACCCCACUAAGUUUAACUCUGUAUUUACUACUUUUCCACUCUACAAGGUCAGUUUUUUACUGUCUACAUAUCAUCUUGCACAAUUUACAUUAACCCCUGUCAUUGUCUGCUUCGUAAGCUCCACUGGAUGUUGCCAUCUAGCUACCUAGUUCCAGAACCUAUGAUGCCAAGUACGAGUACGGAAACUCUCACACUUGCCAUCGCGGCAAAGAUUUAUCACCGUAAUAUUCCCAAUAUGAAUUAAAAAUAAGGUAAGUGGCUGCUGUUCUUUUGUAUUAGCAGCCUCAUUCCCCGUCAGGAACAAAAUUUCAUAGACAGAAUAUGCAAGUAGUUAUGUUUCAAAAAGCUUUAUUAUGUAUUAUUAUUGGAGUGUAAUAAAUGUUCCACUGUGUGUUGCAUGUGGAAAAUGGAAGGAUAAAUACUAGUUUUUAGUGGAAAAAUGAAAAUAAUUACAUUUG
This 4099-nucleotide long non-coding RNA is filed under the name Pelobates cultripes (western spadefoot toad). Lineage: Eukaryota; Metazoa; Chordata; Amphibia; Anura; Pelobatidae. The record is from RNAcentral.